RNAcentral lists this ribosomal RNA (254 nucleotides) under uncultured bacterium. Its description in RNAcentral is "partial 16S ribosomal RNA". It matches the Rfam family "Bacterial small subunit ribosomal RNA", at positions 524 to 776 of the family's 1533-position model. The record is from RNAcentral.
UACGUAGGGAGCAAGCGUUGUUCGGAUUUACUGGGCGUAAAGGGCGCGUAGGCGGCAGAUCAAGUCAGUUGUGAAAUCUCUGAGCUUAACUCAGAACUGUCAACUGAUACUGCUCUGCUAGAGUGCGGAAGGGGCAAUCGGAAUUCUUGGUGUAGCGGUGAAAUGCGUAGAUAUCAAGAGGAACACCUGAGGUGAAGACGGGUUGCUGGGCCGACACUGACGCUGAGUGCGCAAAAGCCAGGGGAGCAAACGGG